Pelobates cultripes (western spadefoot toad) is the source of this 271-nucleotide non-coding RNA. The record is from the annotation of a GenBank genome assembly. Lineage: Eukaryota; Metazoa; Chordata; Amphibia; Anura; Pelobatidae.
UAUUCCUUAGUACACUUCAACUGACUGAAAUAAAAUAAACAAAACUUGGGGUCAUACUGCCCAGAAACUCUUAUUCCUACUCUGUGUCUAACAAACUCAGGGUAAUCAUAAAACAACUUAUAACAACUUAUUCAAUUCAUUGGAUACCAUCAUAUCCAGAAACCUAUUCUCCCUAGUCCAUACCUUUUAUAGACUUAGGUCAAAUAUAAUUGUGUACUAUACUCUUUCAAUUCAAUUCAAUUCCUCUUGGAUCUCUGAAGGCAUUCUUAAU